GACGAACGCUGGCGGCGUGCCUAAUACAUGCAAGUCGAACGCAGUGGGGACGGGUGCGUAACACGUGGGUAACCUCCCAUCAGAGGGGAUAACACUUGGAAACAGGUGCUAAACCGAUACUGAAGGAUGGACCCGCGGGGGAGUAGCUAGUUGGUGAGGUAACGGCUCACCAAGGCCACGAUGGAUAGCCGGCCUGAGAGGGUGAUCGGCCACACUGGGACUGGGACACGGCCCAGACUCCUACGGGAGGCAGCAGUGGGGAAUAUUGCACAAUGGGCGCAAGCCUGAUGCAGCCAUGCCGCGUGUGUGAAGAAGGCCUGCGGGUGGUAAAGCACUUUCAGCGAGGAGGCGUUACUCGCAGAAGAAGCACCGGCUAACUCCGUGCCAGCCGCCGCGGUAAUUC
This 403-nucleotide ribosomal RNA is filed under the name uncultured bacterium. RNAcentral's name for it is "partial 16S ribosomal RNA". It matches the Rfam family "Bacterial small subunit ribosomal RNA", at positions 28 to 526 of the family's 1533-position model. The record is from RNAcentral.